Dendrobium catenatum is the source of this 829-nucleotide long non-coding RNA. RefSeq lists it as uncharacterized. NCBI's taxonomy places the organism in Eukaryota, Viridiplantae, Streptophyta, Magnoliopsida, Asparagales, Orchidaceae. The transcript has 3 exons. The record is from RefSeq and is a predicted model, not a curated record.
CCAACACUAACAGCGCAAUAAAAAAGAGCACCGAUAUAGAUGCACAAUGAAAAUGAAAGUAUUCAUUCACUACAAAAUAUGUAUUAUAAUAAGCAUUCUAAUUUAUGGGGCAUAGAGCUGCUGCUGGCCUGCUGCUUUGGCUUCCCUAACCGAGAGGGAGAGAGUUUUAGGUUUUGAGGUUGUUCCUGAUAGAAAUGAAAGCGGAGAACUCCUGCUGCCUUCGGUUCUUACGCGAAAAUUUGGAUGAAACAAAGCAGAGACGACAUUUGACUGCUUUUGGCUGGCUAGUCUGGUCGUUCUGAAGCUUAACUUGCUAUCCUUCCUCGUCCUCAUCCUCAUUCACCAACUUCAACGAGGUGGUGGUGGAGGGGACGUCCAGAAUAGUCCAAACAGCUGCUGAUUUUCCUCUCAGUUGCAUUCGUCUCUUCUAUUAGUACUACCGCAGAAACCAUGGGAGGCUAGCUCCGGUGAGGGUAUCACAACUGCAGCUCUCACUCUUGUUGUCCUGGGCUAGCUGGAGCUACCCAUCCCCAGCUUACAGAAUCAAAAGAAUCCGACUAACACUAGAAACAAACUAGAAUUGAAAACAUGAACAUUUGGUUCUGAAAUAUUUUUGUGCUAAAUUUGGAUAAUUGAUUGAACGAUACCCUGGAGCAUAGCAAAUUUAUUCAUAAAACCUUCUGAUGUACCUUCUAAUUUUUAGUUUUUAACUCUUAGGUCUUCAUUAAGUUCUUAAGCUAGGCUUGGAAUAGAUCUGAGGCUCCCAAAACCUGUGGAUUAAAUAUGUUGUUACACUAUUUUCAAUGAUGCAUGAAGUAAAUUUCUUGAA